Molecule: long non-coding RNA, 247 nt
Filed under: Mytilus galloprovincialis (Mediterranean mussel)
Lineage: Eukaryota; Metazoa; Mollusca; Bivalvia; Mytilida; Mytilidae
Source: RNAcentral
AGAGACAAGAUAUAUACAUGUUAUGAUUGACAAUUCAUAACAUAUGUACAACUGGCUAACGGAAGAGUUCUUUAAUGAUAAAUGAAAAUAACAUUACUGGGAUGGAGAGUUGUCUCAUUGGCACUCAUACCACAUCUUCUUAUAUCAUUUCACCUGUAAUUUACCUGUUAUUUACCUGUAAAAAAAAUCGGCGCAAAUGAAAAAAAAAAAUCGGCGCAAAUGAAAGAAAAAAUCGGUGCAAAUGAAA